CUUUAGACAAGGAAAGAAAACUUGCUAUUUAUUUUAUGAGUCCGGCUGGGAUACUAUCGAUAGCACCAAAAACUUUGUGCUACCAAGUUUAAUAUUUUCCAUCGUUAGAUUUAACUCUUUGAUUAUUUUCAUCCACUAGAUUUACUAUUCAACCAAUAACUCAUUCAACAUUAAGGGACUCAUAUCAUCCUAACCGUACAUUUUUUAAUCCAAAAGCCGACAACCUAAUAGCACCAAUAACUUGGUGUUAUUGGUAGUAUUCCAGCUAACUUCUUGUUUUAUUCAUUUUUAAAAAAAUGAAUUUAGUUGAAUAUGUGAAACUCCUAUGCUUCAAACUUGAGGCCUCGGGUAUCAAUCAUCAAAUCUUUUACUUCUUCCACUAGCGACGAUUGAUGAGAAAUAAAAGUUUUGAAGGGGAGACUAGAGAGAGAGAUU
This 435-nucleotide long non-coding RNA is filed under the name Ananas comosus (pineapple). RNAcentral describes it as "long non-coding RNA (ACOM_LNC018412)". Lineage: Eukaryota; Viridiplantae; Streptophyta; Magnoliopsida; Poales; Bromeliaceae. The record is from RNAcentral.